Molecule: long non-coding RNA, 1561 nt
Filed under: Marmota monax (woodchuck)
Lineage: Eukaryota; Metazoa; Chordata; Mammalia; Rodentia; Sciuridae
Source: RNAcentral
GGAGCACAGUCAACACCCAAACCGGCAGGACAGGGAGUGCCCUGCCCGGUCACAGGAGCCACCUAAAGGUCUGCUUCCUGAGCUCCCCCCACACACCCUAGCCAGGCUGGGAAGGAUUCGGAGCCCUGGACUUCUCUCCCCAGCUGGUUAUGCCUCGUGAGUCCUCCUGCCCCAGAGACUGGGCCUCAGUGGCCGCGCCCGGGAAAUGGACCAAGCAGAAGCAGCCCAGGGGCUUGCAGCAUUAACAGACCCUCAGGAGGAUUCGAGGCUGGAUUCAGGGUAGGACCCAGAACCCUGGUAGCCCCAGAGGAGUGGUCAAACUCCUCCCCCACAUGGUCUUCAGCAAUCACCCCAGAUUGCCCCCAAAGUAAGUGUCCAAUCCAGGAGGAACCCAGUACGUGCUAUGUGGCCACAGCUGCUAGACAGGGUCCUGCCACCCCUCCCCCUCCUGGGUGGGAGCGUCGGGCUGACCCCUUUCCUCCUGGGACCAGGGAAAGGCCAUCCUGCACCCCGGGAGUCCUGGGGGAUCCCGAGGGGCCCAUCUUCCUGAGCUGAGCAGGGAGUCCAUUCCCCAUCACCCCACCAGGCCCCCAGGGAGAAUCACCAGAGCUACAGGCAGCCAGGCCCCCCCAGGGAGCCAGCUCCACAUCUGGUGUCUGACCCCUCAGUGCACCUGGGGCAGUGGCCACGCUCCCUGAAUGUUCCGCAUGGCCUGGCCACUUCCUGUUGUUCCGAGAGGCUGUGACGGGUGACUGGCAGAGGCUUGGAGUUCUCCUAGGACAGCACCUGUCAAGGGGCCAAAGGGAAAGAGUGGUCCCCCGAGGUGGUAUGACCUGCUGGGGCCACCAGCUGGGAAAGAUGGAUGGGAGGCCUGUUGUUCUCAUGGGUUAUUAUGAGAGUUAGUCAGGAGAGAAGGUUAGGUGCCUGGUGUCCUUCCUGGCACAUAGUAGGUGCUCAAGAAACAGUCAAGCUCCUCCCCACCAAACUCCUUAAAGGCAAACCUACAGCGUCUUCUUGCCUGCUCUCUAUGUAGUCGGCACCUGUGGGCUGCAGACAGCAGAUCUUAAGGGGGUGCAGUGCUGGCCUCCAAGUCCAAGAGCGGAGGGUUUAGGUCAUGCUGACCUGGAUAUCUGUAGGUAAGUGUGCUCCCUCUUAGUGUCUCGGUUUCCUCAUCUGUAAAUUGGGACUCAUAUAAGUACCACCUCAGAAUGUAUGUGAGCCUGGAGUAGAGUGUCAGAUGCUCAGCACUGCUAGUAUACAGCAAAUGCUCACCAGUGUCAAGGCCAUGGGGGGACAUCCUGAUUCCACACCUGUGCCUGAUCCCGAGCCCCACCUGGUGGCUUGGUUUUGAGGCCACCUGGGUGCCGAUGACUUGGCUGGGGUGCAGCCCCAGACCUGGCCCCAAAUUCCUGGGAUGAGUGACGCCAGUUUUCAGGGAUCAGUGCUGUUCCAGACUGCAGAGUUGGAGGAAUCUGGAGAUUUUUUCCCUGCUGAAAAAUCUGAUAGAGAGAUCCCUGGCCGCCCAGGGGGGCCUCACUGCCCAGGCCUGGCCAUGUCCUCC